GGCGCUUUGCCGGAGUGGUUAACGGGACAGACUUGAAUCCUCUAGGUUCAACGAUAUCUGUUGGGCUCUGCCCGCGUAGGUUCAAAUCCUGCAGGCGUCG
Non-coding RNA from Naganishia cerealis, 100 nucleotides. The record is from the annotation of a GenBank genome assembly. Lineage: Eukaryota; Fungi; Basidiomycota; Tremellomycetes; Filobasidiales; Filobasidiaceae.